GGAGAUUUAGCUCAGUGGUAGAGCGCUUGCCUAGCAAGCACAAGGCCCUGGGUUCGGUCCUCAGCUCUG
Molecule: non-coding RNA, 69 nt
Organism: Mus musculus (house mouse)
Lineage: Eukaryota; Metazoa; Chordata; Mammalia; Rodentia; Muridae
Source: Rfam